CCUACGGGAGGCAGCAGUGAGGAAUAUUGGUCAAUGGGCGCGAGCCUGAACCAGCCAAGUAGCGUGAAGGAUGACUGCCCUACGGGUUGUAAACUUCUUUUAUAAGGGAAUAAAAUAAGGCACGUGUGCCUUUUUGUAUGUACUUUAUGAAUAAGGAUCGGCUAACUCCGUGCCAGCAGCCGCGGUAAUACGGAGGAUCCGAGCGUUAUCCGGAUUUAUUGGGUUUAAAGGGAGGGUAGAUGGGGUGCUAAGUCCGUUGUGAAAGUUUGGGGCUAAACCCCGUAGUGCCGUUGAAACUGAUGUUCUUGAGUGGGGGAGAAGUAUGCGGAAUGCGUGGUGUAGCGGUGAAAUGCGUAGAUAUCACGCAGAACUCCGAUUGCGAAGGCAGCAUACCGGAGCCUAACUGACGCUGAAGCACGAAAGCGUGGGUAUCGAACAGGAUUAGAUACCCUUGUAGUC
Molecule: ribosomal RNA, 459 nt
Filed under: uncultured bacterium
Lineage: Bacteria
Description: partial 16S ribosomal RNA
Rfam family: Bacterial small subunit ribosomal RNA
Source: RNAcentral